UGUAUAAAUAGCACCCACAUUACCGGUUGUCUUCAAGCUCAAAACCCCAACUGAAUUUGAUAAUUUAAUCCAAAAACCCCAUUGAUACAAUUUGGAGUUUUCUCCUCUGUCUUACUUUCUGUUUCGGCCACCCCUGUGGACCACCACUACUACCAUCUCCGGCUGAAAAAUUCCAGUCAGCCACCCGAUUUCAUAACUCCGACCCGGCGCCACCAUCUCUUACUCGUCGGAGUCCACCAUCCCUUGCUACUAUGGCGCAUUGUUGCGUGAGCUACUGCUCUGUUCUCGUUGUUGUCUGCUACUGCAUCUUGUUUUCAUCUCAUAUCAAUAUAACCUAAAGUAUUAUGUUAUGGGCCUCCCAUCAUUUAAAGUGGGUCAUGGGUUUUAAUUGAGGGAGCAAGCACCACUUGGGAUUCUUCCAGCAAGUCACGUAUAAGUUGUCAACAUAACUAAUUUUGAGGAUUACUAAUUAGUACGGAGCUCAUGGGGGAUUAAGGUUAAGCAUCGAGGUUCCAUUAAGGAGCUCAAGUUGCGCAAACGAUAGUUAUUACUGGAGUUGGUUAUUUAUUAUGGAGAUAUCGAGACGAGGAAUUAUUUACUAUGGAAAUCCUGUUAUUGAGGUCCCAGGAUUAAUUAAGCCUAAUUCCGCUGCUAAUGAUCAGCUAAGUACGGUUUAUUACCGAUAUUUAAGGAGUCGAAAAGUCGGGGCGUUACAGGUUACACUUAAAAAGCUGCUAAACAACAGUAAAACUAGCAUAAUCAUGCACUAGGUUGCAUAGCUGACUACAAUCUUACAAAAACUAAAAGUAUAAAGACUGUAGUAACAAAUUAAAAAGGGACCAACAACCUGGAACAAAACUACUAAACCUUAAAGGCAUAAAACACCAGUUAAGACUGGCUAGAAGAACACACACAAACCACCUCCUCUCCAAAAGCAAGUGAAGCCAGAAAUACAAAAUUAAUCUGCAGAAGAUGAAGGAGAGAUCAUUCAUCAUCCCUCUUUCUCCUCUUUGAUUUAUCAGCAUCAUAAGGUGGAGUACAAGCUGUGAACAUUGGAUCCUCAUCAUCAAAACCCUCACCAUCAUAGAUCUCCAGCUCCAUAUCAUUGACAUAC
Long non-coding RNA from Spinacia oleracea (spinach), 1114 nucleotides. RefSeq lists it as uncharacterized. NCBI's taxonomy places the organism in Eukaryota, Viridiplantae, Streptophyta, Magnoliopsida, Caryophyllales, Amaranthaceae. The record is from RefSeq and is a predicted model, not a curated record. The transcript has 4 exons.